Molecule: long non-coding RNA, 731 nt
Organism: Mastomys coucha (southern multimammate mouse)
Lineage: Eukaryota; Metazoa; Chordata; Mammalia; Rodentia; Muridae
Exons: 4
Source: RefSeq, a predicted model, not a curated record
ACAUUUUUCAGCCACAGAAUGUCAUCAGAGCAAAUUUGUUGCCUCUUAAUAUUCACCAGAGGACAGUAAAUUUUGGACAUGGUCCUAUCAAAGGGAUCAUGGGACUUCAGAAAGUUUCAGAAAUGUGUAGUUUCCAGUGUGUCAGUGUGACAUUUUGUGUGAUACACAGUGUUCUCUGCUCAAAGAUGUUCCUAGGAGAGAGAAAGAAACAUCGUGAAUUUUUGUGUCAAGAUAUGACAAGGAAGAAACUGGACUGGAAGAAGCAUCUUUGUACCUGAGCGCUGUUUGAAGGAAAUUGGAAUAUGACCUCUUCUCCUGGCAGCACCCUCUUUUCUCCUGAUGUUCCUGCCUGGCUAAAGGAGGUGGCCACUUCUGGUUCCAUAUACCCAAUGUACUGAAUCACAGCUAAGGAGCGUUAUGUUUGCAAACUCAUAGAGUUUGUGACUAUCUACACAAGAUUUGAAGUGUCAAGCUAGUCAGCAUUUCACAAGCAAAGGAAAAAGAUCUCAGCCCCUCUGCUCCCUACCACCAGCUAAGGAGUUAUUGACAGCAGAAUAUAACAGAAAUUAAAAUCUUCCAAGUGAUACAUAAAUGAGGACAAGCUGUAUGGGGAAGAUGCCAGUAGACAUCUCAAGGACAACUCGUGCAGGACCAGACAUUCUGAGAGAAGACUAAAAACAGACCACACCAUUCUCAGAAAUUAAAAUGGCAUUAGAUCUGAAGAAAUGAAA